GUAGGUGAACCUGCGGAAGGAUCAUUAUUGAAAUAAAUCUGGCGAGUUGCUGCUGGUUCUCUAGGGAACAUUGUGCACACUUGUCAUCUUUAUAUCUCCACCUGUGCACCUUUUGUAGACCUGGAUAUCUCUCUGAGUGCUGGUCACUCAGGUUUGAGGAUUGACUUUAUGUCUCUCUUCACAUUUCCAGGCCUAUGUUCUUUAUAUACCCCAAUGUAUGUUAUAGAAUGUAAUCAAUGGCCUUUGUGCCUAUAAACCUAUACAACUUUCAGCAACGGAUCUCUUGGCUCUC
Molecule: unclassified non-coding RNA, 292 nt
Filed under: rhizosphere metagenome
Description: partial ribosomal RNA internal transcribed spacer region
Source: RNAcentral